UGCCACGGAUUCCCAGCAGAGGCCUUCGUGCCUCAUUGCCACGUGCUCAGUACAGAGACCACGAAGAGAGGGAGUUCAGAGGGAGCAGGCCAAGCGAGCGGCAGAGAUGGCUUGGACUACCUGUUGGGGGAAGCUGGUGAGGCGUCGCUACCUGUGGUGGGGCCUGAUGUGGCAAUUUCGACAACUGCUGCCAUUCCCCAUGUUUGGUCGGAAAGUGCAUCAGAGGGCCUGGAUUCUGGAUUCGCGUUGGGAAUCCAGAGGUGGACACACCAAACCAAGUGGCGGGGAAGCUGGGAGCUCCCACAGCUGCCCCUGAGGAAGAGUACUCUUAAAGCUCGAAACGCGUCAGGCAAUGACUGAAUAAAGAACUGAUUGACAUUCAUUCAGCAUCUCUGUGGAUUUUUACCCCUUUUCCUCUUGGUUUUUCAUGCUGCGUCAUUUUCCUCCUUCUUCCCUUCCCCCCUUUCUUUUCCUGGAUUCAUGUUUCCCAACUUGUUGAGAAAUAGCUUGGCUUCUUUCUGAGCCAAUCCAAUGGGAGUGGAGUGGGGUGGCUUGCUCAUCCCUAUGUAUUAGAUAUUCUCUCUUUUUUCCUGCUCUCCAUUCACUUUCUGUGAAAUGGAGUUCUAGAAACAGAAACAUCUUCGAGGGAGACCAUCUCCACUCAUGAAACCGACCUACCAUAGGCAGCUGCUUCUUGUCUCUCACCUGUCCCAUCUAAGUGCCAGCAUCUUAACCAGUUCAAGACAGCAAGGAUGGAUCACUCCCAGAGGCCAGAGAGAGUUUUCCUGAAACUUCCAGCAAAGUAUAACAAGCUUGUGUUAUGCUCACAGGGAAUGAUCCAACGUCACAUUAUUAUCACAGGGAAUGGCCCAACGUUCACCAGACAUGCCACUACAGAAGAACGUUGGAUGUUUAUACGUUGCUGUUUCUCCAAAUGGUCUUCCAACCAAAUGCCAUUCCUCUCUUCAAUGAUUGUCACGCAACCCAACUGUCAAACAAUAAAAUAACAUUUGUUUCUGA
Molecule: long non-coding RNA, 1020 nt
Organism: Hemicordylus capensis (graceful crag lizard)
Lineage: Eukaryota; Metazoa; Chordata; Lepidosauria; Squamata; Cordylidae
Exons: 2
Source: RefSeq, a predicted model, not a curated record